UACGUAGGGUGCAAGCGUUGUCCGGAAUUAUUGGGCGUAAAGAGCUCGUAGGCGGUCUGUCACGUCGGCUGUGAAAUCCCGAGGCUCAACCUCGGGUCUGCAGUCGAUACGGGCAAACUAGAGUAUUGCAGGGGAGACUGGAAUUCCUGGUGUAGCGGUGAAAUGCGCAGAUAUCAGGAGGAACACCGGUGGCGAAGGCGGGUCUCUGGGCAAUAACUGACGCUGAGGUGCGAAAGCGUGGGGAGCAAGCAGG
RNAcentral lists this ribosomal RNA (253 nucleotides) under uncultured bacterium. Its description in RNAcentral is "partial 16S ribosomal RNA". It matches the Rfam family "Bacterial small subunit ribosomal RNA", at positions 524 to 776 of the family's 1533-position model. The record is from RNAcentral.